AACUGAUUGUUCCUUCUGGUAUCUUCACGCGCCUGUGAUCACUUGUUGUAAUGGCAACCGAUGAGGGCAGAGAGAAUUCUUCGUGCUGCUUGGCGAGUGACACUGUGCGUCUUUUCUUUUCGAUUGGAAUUUUUCAAUUGAGGGCUUCGGAAUAAUUGGAUCUGCUAUUAAGACAAAGGGAAGAGAACAAAUCGCAAUGAUAUGGAAAUUUGUAGGAUUGUUGGUUGCCAUGGUAACGAUGGGCGCCAUCUUGGCUGAAACCUCCUACCACAAGAUAGAUGACAAAAUAGACAAAUAUAUGUAUGGAUUCCCGUCUUUCUGCUCCUGGGACCAAAUGUGCAAGUCCGCCUACAAGAAUUAUUUCGAAUGUAAGUGUCCUUCAUACAGACCUUUCUGCACUAGCCAGGGAACGUAUUACGAUGCCAUGUGCGCCCCGAGGUAUGCUCUUAGCUGGAUGAUCUGGCUGCAGCCGCACCAGGGCACGGCGGACCUGGAGUGAGUUGUAUUUGGGCGAUCGCCGCGUUGACAUCUUGCUUUGACUUGGUCAAUAGCGCAAGGGAAUGUUGGUGAUCGUCGCGAGGACUGCUUCGCUCGACUUGGUCAAUAGCGUGAGAAGAAGAACAGGGAGAUACCUGUAAAUCGACAUGUUUCGUAUUCUUAGUAACAGCUUGGAUAAUGGGAUGGAAAUGUUCGCGUUUCGUUGAGUGUUUUUCUGACAGAGCAGCAUGGUCAACGGGUUAUGCAUUUGCCUGAAAGAUCUCCAAGCCGGGUACAAAAUUGUGUUUAAGAGAACAGACUCCCACCCUUCAAGUUGGCAUUCACCUCAUUUUGAAGAAGUUCUAAUUGCUUUAGGAUAUCAAGUUGUAGCCAAAACUGCGGUACCUACAUGUAUGAUGGUCAACCCUUUAAAU
Molecule: long non-coding RNA, 911 nt
Organism: Lineus longissimus
Lineage: Eukaryota; Metazoa; Nemertea; Pilidiophora; Heteronemertea; Lineidae
Exons: 3
Source: RefSeq, a predicted model, not a curated record